GCAUAUCAAUAAGCGGAGGAAAAGAAAAUAACAAUGAUUCCCCUAGUAACUGCGAGUGAAGAGGGACAAGCUCAAAUUUUAAAUCUAUCGGGUUUUACCUGAUCGAGUUGUAAUUUGAAGAAGCGUUUUCUGCGUAUUUGGUCAGCCUAAGUCCUAUUGAAUGAGGCAUCAUGGAGGGUGAUAAUCCCGUCCGGUUGAUCAUUUGCGUUUUACGAUACGCUUUCUAAGAGUCAAGUUGUUUGGGAUUGCAGCUUAAAAUGGGAGGUAAAUUUCUCCUAAGGCUAAAUAACGGCGAGAGACCGAUAGCGAACAAGUACCGUGAGGGAAAGAUGAAAAGAACUUUGAAAAGAGAGUUAAACAGUACGUGAAAUUGUUGAAAGGGAAACGAUUGAAGCCAGUCGUACCUUCGGGUAAUCAGCCUUUCGGGUGCGAUUAUGUGGAGUGUGAGGAGCUUAAGCACCUUCAUGCUUUGCAUAUUCGUGCUCUUGGGUGUACUUGCCCGUGUGGUUGGUUAACAUCAAUUUCGGGCACCAUAAAAUGGCUGGAGGAAUGUAGCUUCGAUCUUGUAUUGAAGUGUUAUAGCCUUCGGUAGAUGUGGUGAUCGAGAUUGAGGAUUGCAACGGAUACCUUUCGGGGCUACCUGUCUGAUCUCUGAUCGUUGCUUUGGUGCUGAAAGCGUGCUUAUAGUUAUCAAAGUCGAUGGUUAAUAGGUUAGAAUGGGUUAAAUUCGUUAAGGAUGUUGACGUAAUGGCUUUAAACGAC
Molecule: ribosomal RNA, 762 nt
Filed under: Rhizophagus intraradices
Lineage: Eukaryota; Fungi; Glomeromycota; Glomeromycetes; Glomerales; Glomeraceae
Description: eukaryotic LSU rRNA
Rfam family: Eukaryotic large subunit ribosomal RNA
Source: RNAcentral